AGCCCGUUUUAUAUUUUACUUUACCGAGGAUAAGCUCAGUAAAACACUAAAAAGGAAGUACUUUACCUAAAUCAAUUACGUAGGCCUGAAAUUAGCCAUUGUCUUAGAACUUGUUAUAAAACAAUUUGAAUAUUUAGAAAGAUAGCUAUACUUAACCUUACUUUAGAUAGGGGUAACACGGAAAACUAUUAACUUGAUCUAUUUAUGCUAGAAUGAGUAUUAAAAUACCUAAUUUAACAGGUUAAACCAAAAUAAAAUAUCUGUGAAUAUAGUUUUUCUAGAAAAUAAAAUAAAAAUAAGGAACUCGGCAAACUUUAGCUCCGCCUGUUUACCAAAAACAUGGCUCUUUGAGCCCCUAACAUAGAGAGUCGAACCUGCCCAGUGAAAUUUUAACGGCCGCGGUACUCUGACCGUGCAAAGGUAGCGUAAUCAUUUGCCUUAUAAUUGAAGGCCUGUAUGAAUGGUUUGACGGGAGCAUUACUGUCUCUUUUUUACUAAGUAGAAUUUGACCUUUAGGUGAAGAGGCCUAAAUAUAAUUGAAAGACAAGAAGACCCUGUCGAGCUUAAAAAAGAAUUAGGAUAAACUAUAGCACUUAAAUUAACUACUAAUUAACUUUUUUGGUUGGGGCGACCGGGGAACAAGUAAAACUUCCUUUUUUUCCUUAACUAAUAAGUAAUGAUCCAGUAUAGCUGACUGGAAGAAUUAGUUACCGCAGGGAUAACAGCAUAAUCUCUCCCGAGAGACCUAAUCGAAGGAGGGGGUUGUGACCUCGAUGUUGGACUAGAGUAUCCUAAAGGUGCAGAAAUCU
This 809-nucleotide ribosomal RNA is filed under the name Madagasikara madagascariensis. RNAcentral describes it as "partial 16S ribosomal RNA". It matches the Rfam family "Bacterial large subunit ribosomal RNA", at positions 1442 to 2564 of the family's 2925-position model. Lineage: Eukaryota; Metazoa; Mollusca; Gastropoda; Pachychilidae. The record is from RNAcentral.